GUUCCAUACUUUAACCCUUUAUAUUUUGUUACCUCGUCCAUAGUAUUGGACAGGACAUAUAUAUACAUAUGAGGUGAACACUUUGGAAAUAUAGAUCACAGUGAGAAGGAAUACUAUUUGAGAAUCAUUUGUUAUUUUCUUUUAUUAUUUUUCACCGAGUGUUGAAAGAGUCUCCGUCAACCUCUUCCGCGAUCGUGCUCGUAGGAGAAGGAGUUCCGGUCGUACCUUGGGGCGGUGUUUCCGGUUAAUCCCGCACGAAGGACGGGAAUACGCCUUAGGGCAGUGCUUCGCACGCUUCCGGAUCAAUUAAAUUUUUAUUUGGAUUUAGCGAUUAUCGGUAAGUUGAUUUUAUUAAUUUUAUCAUAAGAUUUAGUUAGAUUUAAAUCACAAUCAAUUUUCUGUGCGGUAUUUGUUCCAACAAUCUAAGGCGUAAUUCCGAUUUGAUUGUGAUUGAAAUCUGACGAGUGCUCAUCCGUAUUAAAUUAAUUUUAUAUGUAUAUAAUUUGUUAGUUAAUUUGUUUGUAUAAUUGGCAUUCAAACAUAAAUUUUUCGGAAUUAUCAUUUUAACCUAUAAUUGCAUAUUAUGUAAUUUCUUGUUUAAAUUACAUUUUAUUUGAUGAGUAUUUAAAAAAAAAAAAAAAAAAAAUUGCCUUUACUUGUAGCUCUUUUGAAAAUAAAAAGGUACGGACAUUAUGGAUUUCAAAACUAUAUGUAUAUUGUUUUCACUAUUUUUUUUUAUAUAAGUUAAAAAAAAAAAAAUAAUAAUCAGUGUAACCGUAUAUAUAUAUAUACUGUUCCGUUGUAAUAUCUGUUCUUAUUAGUUUAAUAUCUGAUAUAUGUGGGCUACUUGCCAACCUCGAUAUUAAAUUAAUUUUUUGUGGGAGAGUAUCUACCCAUGAUAGCUUGUUACUGGAAUUUUAUCAUGUCGUUGCGCUGCACUGCUGUUCGAGACUAGCACACUUAUGUAUGUAGUUUAAUUAUUAUUUUGCUUAAAAUAGAAAGAUAUCGAAUGUUAUUUUUGUUAGACAAAUUUGAUUGCAUGUUUGUCGUUCUAAUUUAAAUAAAUUAGAAUUAGUAUUUUCAAAUUCUAAUUGCAUAUAAUUUACUUGCUAAUUGCAUAUAACUUAAUUAUCAAUUAUUAUAUUCUCAUAUCUGUUAUAGGGUGUUUUAAGUUUGUUUAUAAAAAAAAAAAAAAAAAAUUUUAGUGUGCGAAUUUCUUGAUCAGGUAAAAUCCAUUUUACUUUGUUUUCCACAAUGACAUUGUACAGAUUAUUCAAAAAAAAAAAGAAAAAAAAAAAAAGAGCUACUGUAAAAUUAUUUUUUAUAUUGUACGGCUUAAAAGUUUUGCUACAGUAAAAAUUUUUUCUUUUUGGUAAAAAAAAAAAAAGGAAGAGAAAAUUUGCCACAGUAAAUUAAGGAGAGUUUGCUACACUAAAUUUAGUUUAUGUGUACGGAUGCGUUCGUACCAGCAUCACCUAACCUAUAAUACUAUCUCUUAGUUGUCACUACAUUUGUUACAUCUAAGUAUUUUUAUACAUUGGUUAUAGUAUAUCAUUUUAUUUUGCUUGUGCCAUCUAUUUGUUGUUGACCCAAAUUCUAUUAGACAUGAUUAAGGCCAUAUUUUUUAAAUUCUGAUAUAUUUCAAAACUUGUGGGGGGUACUCUUUUAUCAGUUUGAUAAAUUUUGAUAUUAUAAUUACUCUCGUAAUUUUAUCCUUGUGUUCAUCUUGGAAACGAAUUUUGCAAAUUCUAAGAUUGGCAGGUAAAUUAUUUUGAGACAUAAAUUUAUUAGAUGGCUAACCUUUUAUAAUAUUAUUUUUUAAGUUUUUUCAGAUCUGAUCAGAAUCUUGCAGAUUGCUUGACGAAAGGCCUGAAUAGGACUAAGGUCCUAGAGUCAUCGAGGGGGAUGGGACUUUGCCCGUAAAGGGCCUUCCUGCAGUGGGAACCCAACCUUUGUGAUAGGAGAUCCCUUGAAGAAGGUUCAAUGUGGUAAAAACAAGCUGUCAGGUUGGCCAAGAGCACUUUCUACAAAUUUUAUAAAGGAGCUUUAGCUCCAAUUCCAUCCCUAUGGUGAGUAGUGCUCUGUGUAGUGGAUUAGGUUGAGCUGAGAGCUCUUAAUGGGAUCCAAGGCGAUAAUUUUCGCGAGAUGUGACUCUACACACAUCCCUGGAGGAAACCACCUAUAUAAGAGUAUCCGUAUGUGGCCGCGGCUAUGUGAAUGGGCUAUACAUAGAAACUCUUAUGAAAAAUCAAGGUACUGUGCAUGGCCAUUAACGCACAGACCCGCGACGGAGAAUUCUGUACUAUGUGUGUGAUAGUUGAAGUCAGGGUCAAAGGAACGUAGUUCAAGACCUGGUUCACUCCGAUUCCUUCUGAUGGAAACUAUUUGCACUAAGUGAGGUUAAGUCUCUUAAAGACACCUUACUUAUUACAUAGUAUAAACACUCGGUGAUUAAUUGAUUUUCUUUAUUUGUUGUUUAAUUUUUAUUUUUAUUUUUAUUUUAUUUUAUCUUUAAAAUAAUUUUGAAUUUUGUGGGGGAUUGUUGGAGAAAAUUCAAAAUUUUAUUUAUUUAAUAUUUAUUUUUUUAUUAACUUUUAAUUAUCAAUUAGCGAAACGGCCGCAUCAACUACGGCCGCUUCGCGCGAGGGGGGGGAUCGUGCGCAGAUCCGUUCCACUAAUUAAGACCUUAAUUAGUGCUUUGGAACGUUGUGGGCUCCAACGUUCCAUACUUUAACCCUUUAUAUUUUGUUACCUCGUCCAUAGUAUUGGACAGGACAUAUAUAUACAUAUGAGGUGAACACUUUGGAAAUAUAGAUCACAGUGAGAAGGAAUACUAUUUGAGAAUCAUUUGUUAUUUUCUUUUAUUAUUUUUCACCGAGUGUUGAAAGAGUCUCCGUCAACCUCUUCCGCGAUCGUGCUCGUAGGAGAAGGAGUUCCGGUCGUACCUUGGGGCGGUGUUUCCGGUUAAUCCCGCACGAAGGACGGGAAUACG
Molecule: long non-coding RNA, 2992 nt
Filed under: Ananas comosus (pineapple)
Lineage: Eukaryota; Viridiplantae; Streptophyta; Magnoliopsida; Poales; Bromeliaceae
Description: long non-coding RNA (ACOM_LNC018954)
Rfam family: U2 spliceosomal RNA (bases 785-962)
Source: RNAcentral